Molecule: long non-coding RNA, 1805 nt
Filed under: Homo sapiens (human)
Lineage: Eukaryota; Metazoa; Chordata; Mammalia; Primates; Hominidae
Description: non-protein coding lnc-HNRNPA2B1-16:11
Source: RNAcentral
AGCUCUCCAUGCUGGCUGUGUGGCCAGCAUACCUCCUGCCUUUUCAACGAUUCCUCUGCCCUGGAUAGAGAGCGGUGUCUCAUAACAGUUUGGAAACUACAAAAGUUUCCCUGGCAGGAUGAAUGAUUGACUCGGCAACAUGUUCUUGCCUUUUGGAGUUGCCCUCCAAUUUUUCCAGGCUUGAUUCUGUAAAUCAUUUCAUCUUGUAAAAAUACUGGGCUGUGAGCACGGAUGAUCUCAAAGAUGAGGAAACAGAAGCUGGGAUAUGUGAGUAAACAUUUCCAAGGUCCUGCAGCUAAUCAAUGGUUGACAACUUCUUUCCUCUGCCUAUGUUGCCAUCCAUGUCAUGGUUUGUGUCAAGACUCUAGGAGAAGUCUACCAUCAGCACCACAGCUACUGUGCACAAAUCCAGAAUGCCAGACUGAAGUCAGAAGGAAAGAUCCUUUAUAUAUUGAAAGAAGAAAGUAGAACCAUUUCUGGGUCCCAGCUGUGGGAAGAGCUCCUGUGGCUGUGAAUUCUGACUUCUGGGUCUUGGCACAAGGUGUGGCCAGCAAGCUAAGCUGUCCUGAGGGUGUGCAGGGCCAGGGGCUGAAGACAGUGUUGGAGCAUCCACAGACUGGUUUGUCUCAAGAAGCAUGUUACUAAAUAUGAAAUAGCAAAAUCUGCAAGUGGGUUUACUUUUCCCCCAUAGAUUAGAAUGGAUUCAAUAUUAUCUCUUUAUUAGCGUCACUUUUAAUCACUUGUAUAACAAGUAGGACAGAAAGGUGGCUUGAAAGUCAAUCAUGUGAGAAUUCCAGAUAAAUUGACUUUGCUCACAACAAUCUGUUAUUCAUGUGACUAUCAACUGUCAUGUGUGCUGGGGCAAAAAAAGAAGAUAAGGAUUCACUGGUAUCAGAUAGUUCCAGGAGGGGAAACCCAGGAUUGAACUUUUUCAGCCUUCUAUGGUAAAAUUUCCUGCUCUGUCGGUGCGCCAAAGCUUUUUUCAGUUUCCUAAACUCCCAUAUUCAAGAAGAUAAGCUAUUUUCUCUUCUUUCUCAUCCUUCCUUGACAAAGCAAAGCAUAUUUUCAUUGUCUACUCUGUGUCAUCCAUGCUUGGUUCCUGUCCUCAAAGAGCUUAUAGUUCAAAUAAAGGAGAGGGAGCAUUUUACAAGGGAAUUAAAGGUAAAAGAUUCUGAAAGCCAGUUUAAAAAGUCGUGAGGGAGGGGUCUGGGAGAAGCUGAGCAGGGGUGAAAGGGUACGAAACAUUAUGGAAGGAGAACAGGGGAGCACCCUGACUACUGGGUGGAAACACCAAUCAGUGGGUAGAAACCACACAGUGGUAACACUGAUCAGUGGGUAGAAAACAAUGACAGCAGGUAUAUGAGGCAUGGAACACUUGGCUUAUUGUAAAGUUUUCAAAAUAUGCAGUCCUUUCUAUCCACCAGGGGUUGGGAGUUGUCUUUGUAUAUCAACCGUGGAAGGGCUGUUUUGGUUCAUCAUUCUGUGGUCUACCUGGGUAGACCUGAUGCAGCCGUGUUUCUGAGGAAAGGAAGAACAGCUUUUGUUUUGUGAUAUGUAAUGGUAGAUGUAGUGCCAUGGAAUGAUGCAGAUUUCAUUCAGAUAUUCUUGGAUCUUGGCCCCAGGACUCACUCAUUCUUCCCUAUAUGAGCAUUGGUAGUUACAGGUUUUAUCCUUCCUUUAAUUGUAAGUCUUUUGAAGCCAAAAACUGUAUCCAAUUUGUCACUGUCUCCUAACAGUACUUAGCAGUGUCUGAUGCAUCAUAGGGAGUUUGUAAAUGUUUGGAUAAAUAAAGGGAAAACAAAAAC